This 71-nucleotide transfer RNA is filed under the name Craugastor lineatus (montane robber frog). RNAcentral's name for it is "tRNA-Val". The record is from RNAcentral. Lineage: Eukaryota; Metazoa; Chordata; Amphibia; Anura; Craugastoridae.
CGAGAUAUAGCUUAUUCAUUAAAGUACCUUGCUUACACCAAGACGAUGUUCACGACAUGAACUCUCUCGAG